Molecule: transfer RNA, 77 nt
Filed under: Candidatus Omnitrophota bacterium
Lineage: Bacteria; Pseudomonadati; Candidatus Omnitrophota
Description: tRNA-Trp
Rfam family: tRNA
About the family: Transfer RNA (tRNA) molecules are approximately 80 nucleotides in length. Their secondary structure includes four short double-helical elements and three loops (D, anti-codon, and T loops).
Source: RNAcentral
AGGUGAGUAGCUCAACUGGCUAGAGCACCGGACUCCAAAUCCGGGGGUUGCGGGUUCAAGUCCUGCCUCACCUGCCA